RNAcentral lists this ribosomal RNA (494 nucleotides) under Chrysolina americana. RNAcentral's name for it is "partial 16S large subunit ribosomal RNA". The stretch from base 370 to 494 matches the Rfam family "Bacterial large subunit ribosomal RNA", at positions 2473 to 2598 of the family's 2925-position model. Lineage: Eukaryota; Metazoa; Arthropoda; Insecta; Coleoptera; Chrysomelidae. The record is from RNAcentral.
UAAUUUAAGGUCUAGCCUGCCCACUGAAAUUUUAAAUGGCCGUGGUAUUUUGACCAUGCUAAGGUAGCAUAAUCAAUAGUUUUUUAAUUAAAAACUGGAAUGAAAGGUUGGAUAAGAAAAUGACUGUCUCUAUUAAAUUUUAUUAGAAUUUUAUUUUUAAGUUAAAAAGCUUAAAUAUAUUUAAAAGACGAGAAGACCCUAUAGAAUUUUAUUAUUAUAUAAAAGUUAUAUUUUAGUAUUUAAUUAUUUAUUUUAUUAUUUAAUUUAGUUGGGGUGAUUGAAAAAUUUAAUUAACUUUUUUUAAUUAAAAACAUUUAUUUAUGAAAAAAUGAUCCAUUAUUUUUGAUUAUAAGAUAAAAUUACCUUAGGGAUAACAGCGUAAUUUUUUUUAAAAGUUCAUAUUUAAAAAAAAGAUUGCGACCUCGAUGUUGGAUUAAAAUUUAUUUUUGGUGUAGAAGCUAAAAUAUUGGGUCUGUUCGACCUUUAAAAUUUUA